UGACGGGGGCCCGCACAAGCGGUGGAGCAUGUGGUUUAAUUCGAAGCAACGCGAAGAACCUUACCAGGUCUUGACAUCUCCUGACAACUCUAGAGAUAGGGCUUUCCCCUUCGGGGGACAGGGUGACAGGUGGUGCAUGGUUGUCGUCAGCUCGUGUCGUGAGAUGUUGGGUUAAGUCCCGCAACGAGCGCAACCCUUGAUCUUAGUUGCCAGCAUUCAGUUGGGCACUCUAAGGUGACUGCCGGUGACAAACCGGAGGAAGGUGGGGAUGACGUCAAAUCAUCAUGCCCCUUAUGACCUGGGCUACACACGUGCUACAAUGGAUGGUACAAAGGGCAGCGAGACCGCGAGGUUAAGCGAAUCCCAUAAAACCAUUCUCAGUUCGG
Molecule: ribosomal RNA, 386 nt
Filed under: Cytobacillus oceanisediminis
Lineage: Bacteria; Bacillati; Bacillota; Bacilli; Caryophanales; Bacillaceae
Description: bacterial SSU rRNA
Rfam family: Bacterial small subunit ribosomal RNA
Source: RNAcentral